This 11198-nucleotide long non-coding RNA is filed under the name Eutrema salsugineum. Its description in RNAcentral is "long non-coding RNA (ESAL_LNC001951)". The record is from RNAcentral. Lineage: Eukaryota; Viridiplantae; Streptophyta; Magnoliopsida; Brassicales; Brassicaceae.
AACCGCUUCUCCGAACUUCACUCCGUUCCGAGCCAAGAGCUCAGGGAAAACACAUCCUAGGGCUCCGAGCAUGGCCCAUCUGCAGUGGAUAACUUCUAGCUCACGGUUCCUUGCGAAAGUCUCUGGGUCGGCGGAUAGACCGGCGGUGUCCCAUCCGUAGUCUCCGGGGAACUCACCGGUGAGGUAGCUUGGGGGCUCGCCGGAGAAUGGACCCAAGUACUUGACUCUGUCGGAUCCGUACCAUGGGCUGCCAGAUGGGCCUGUGGGCUUGGCGGUUUUGCGCAUGGUGACACGACCGGUUCCAAAUACUUCGGAGGCUGCCGGUGAGAGCUUCACGGCCUUUCCGGCGAAGGCAGGGGAGGACAGAGCCAUGGUUGAGGCAGCCAUUGGAAUUCUUCUUCUUUUUUUUCUUUUUUUGGUUUUUUUUUUUGUGACUGGUGAGAGUGAUUGAAAAUGGUUGGGGUAUAGAUCCAUUUUAUAGAAAUCUUAAGAAUGAGAUUUUGGAUAUGUCGUUUGGUUGUCCUAUGUGUCACUCUCUACUCCACCAACUUUUGGUUUAGAUUCUUUGAUUGCAAUGAAGACACUUGUGAUUUUUACACUGGAAAAUUUGAGUAAAUUACCACAAAUAAAGGCUACUUUGUUUUGAAUUAACUCGACGCUGAUGAUUCGUUUCAAGCGGAUAGAAAUAUGUCAAAAAAUACAGGUGGCAUGCAAUCAGUGGAUAUUCGUAUAUGCUGAGACGGUACAAGAUAUCUAAAUUAUCUAUCUAAACACAACUCAACUCCUAACUACAAAUGGGAACACUUAUGCCAGCUCAGUAAGACAAAAAAAUCUAAGCUCCAAAGAUGUCUGCAACCAAUAGAAACGAAGACAUUGAUAUCUUGAGAUAAAGAGAAAUAAAUCCAAAUAGAUUAAUCAACAGUUUGUUUUCACAUUAUAAAAUACAGAGAAACAUCACCGAAUCUCAACCAUCUAAUUCCUCACAACUAAAACAUUUUACUUGCAACACACUCUAACCGCAAUGGCUACCUCGACAAUGGCUCUUUCCUCUCCUGCUUUGGCCGGACAGGCCAUGAAGUUAUCUCCGGCGGCCUCUGAAGUAUUUGGAACCAGUCGAGUCACCAUGCGCAAAACCACUAAGCCCACCGGCCUAGGCCUGGGCACAUUAUCCGAACCCGAACAAUCUAUCCGAACCUGAUCCGAAAAAGAGAAACUGAAUCCGAACCGAAACUAAUAAAAUAUCCGAACGGUUUUGAAAUUUCUAAAUCCGAAAAACCGAAACCGAACCACACCAAACCGAAAAUCCGAAUGGAUAUCCGAAAUAUCCGAAAUACAAUUAUAUAUCCAAAAUACUAACUACAUUUAGACUUAAUAACCUAAAAUCACAAUUAUAAAUCUAAAAUAUGAAUUUUUUUAUUCUGAAAAUGAUGAAAAAAUCCAAAAUAAUUUAAAUAUACUAAAGUUUUUAGUUAUAUUUGUUAAAAUUUGCCAAAUUUUAUUUGAAUUUAACCAAUUUUAUUUAAAUUUAAUUAUUUUUAUUUAAUUUUUAUUAUUUUUUGGAUAUCCGAACCCGAACCGAACCCGAUCGAAUAUAACCGAACCCGAACCGAAAUUCCAAAAAUACCCGAAUGGGUUUUAAAUCUAAAAACCGAAAAUCUGAAAACCCGAAUUAUCCGAACCGAAUCUGAAUGGAUAUCCGAACGCCCAGGCCUACACCGGCCCAUCUGGCAGCCCAUGGUACGGAUCCGAUAGGGUCAAGUACUUGGGUCCUUUCUCCGGUGAGCCCCCGAGCUACCUCACCGGGGAGUUACUACGGAUGGGACACCGCCGGUCUAUCCGCCGAUCCAGAGACCUUCGCUAGGAACCGUGAGCUAGAAGUUAUCCACUGCAGAUGGGCCAUGCUGGGAGCUCUUGGAUGCGUCUUCCCUGAGCUCUUGGCUCGCAACGGAGUGAAGUUCGGAGAAGCGGUUUGGUUCAAGGCUGGUUCACAGAUCUUCAGUGAAGGAGGGCUAGACUACUUGGGCAACCCGAGCUUGGUCCAUGCUCAGAGAAUCUUAGCCAUUUGGGCCACUCAAGUGAUCCUCAUGGGAGCUGUUGAGGGUUACAGAGUCGCCGGAGAUGGCCCUUUGGGAGAAGCAGAGGACUUGCUUUACCCUGGUGGAAGUUUCGACCCAUUGGGCCUCGUUACCGACCCAGAAGCUUUCGCGGAGUUGAAGGUGAAAGAGAUCAAUAACGGAAGGUUGGCUAUGUUCUCUAUGUUUGGAUUCUUCGUUCAAGCCAUCCACCGGAAAGGGACCCUUGGAGAAUCUCGCCGGCCAUUUAGCUGAUCCAGUCAACAACAACGCAUGGGCCUUCGCCACCAACUUCGUCCCCGGAAAGUGAGUGUAAUGUGUGAUCGAGUUGUGUGUAUCGGUUUGUUGAAUCUUGGAAAUGUGAUGUAAACUUCAAACGUUUGAAAUAUUUAUUAAACUUUAUGAUAUUGGUGGAUUCAUUACUUACUAAAUGUACAAGAACAUUACGUGCAACUAAUUCAGGGUUCACACAAAACAACUCGGUUCUAAGGAUAUAAUAGAGAUGCAUGUCUCCAAAUUAUCAGAUGGUCACAUUACAGUUUAAAAAUUUGUUCCAUAUUAUACAAUCUUAUGUGGCAGAAUAUCAAACUUUUUGAGUUCUUGGAUCUAGUUUUCACACAUCCACGAAUGGUUAGGUUAAUUUUGUUUUUCCUUCCUAUAGUCUAAAUUUUCAUUAACUCACGUUUGGCCAUUCCAAGAUUUUGGACGGCUUGGAGACCAUCUACAUGGAAUUCGAAUUUAUAUAGGUGUUUUUUGUGUUUUUAGCAAAAUUGGAAAUAACCACAUGAAACGAACAUAUCAAGAUAUAAAAUUAUAUUUUGGAUCAUAUAUUAGGACGUCUAUGAAAGUAGCACAAACUACUGACAGCACAAACUACUGGCAGCACAUGUUCUAAUUCAAGAUUUAAUAGCAUUCAAGAUAUUAUUACCUUAGCCUUAACGAAGCGGUUCACAAAAGACCAAUACAACAAUAUACGUCCCACCAUCAGAACCGUUAUCAACAUUUUAUAAACCCUGAACAAUCAUAAUAACAUUCUAAUUAAAAGAUAUAUUUAAUAGUUUUAAAUAAUAUUUUUGAUACAUUUUAGUGCAAACGUUUUUUUUCGUAUUAUCAUAUUAACACCUCUCUCCAUUUCAGUUUAUAAAUUGUUUAUAGUUGUUUCAAAUAGGAAAUUAUACCAUAGAUUGUAUGGUAGAGAGCUAGAAUGUAUAUAAAUGUUCGAUCAAUAUAAAGCCAAGUUGUUGACAGGCCGGUCCGGUUUUUAUAACAUUGCAUUUUAUUCUUUACUAGGUAAUAAAUCUCGUAUUUUGUCUAUGUUAUUAAGAGCAAUGGUUGAAGUUUUGAUUCAUAGGAAAAAAGAAGAAAUUUUAAAUAUUCUUGGAUGUUUGAAUAACACAAUUAGAAACUAUUCAACGCACCAAUAAGGCAAUUCAAGAUUUUCAAUUUAAAACUUGCUAAAUCUGCACUAAUAUAUCAUGUAUGAUACUCUUGUUAGGUUCAAUGGAAAUUCUCCACCACCCUUACUAAAUUUAGAGAAAUACAAUUUCUUCAAUUAAAAAAAAUCUUCAUCUUCACCAAUAUAUAUUCUUUCACUGGAGAGAAAGGAGUAUCUCUCAUAUUCUCACCGUUUAGCAAACAAAUGGGUCGGAGAAAGAUCAAGAUGGAGAUGGUUCAGGACAUGAACACAAGACAGGUCACCUUUUCAAAACGGAGGACUGGUUUGUUCAAGAAGGCGAGCGAGUUAGCCACACUCUGCAAUGCCGAGUUGGGUAUUGUUGUCUUUUCACCAGGAGGUAAGCCUUACUCCUACGGGAAACCGAAUCUUGAUGCUGUUACAGAGCGAUUCAUGAGGGAGGAAUGUGAGGAUUCAGAUGAUGGUGAUGAAGAAGGAAGAUGCGGUAACAAUCGACCUAAACUGAAGAAGAUGAACGAACGUCUAGAUUUUCUCAAACAAGAGAUUGAAGCUGAGAAGAAACGAGGAGAGAAGGCUCAGGAGAAGCUUGAAUCUGCUGGUGAAGCGAGAUUUAAGAAGCCCAUUGAGAAGCUUACCAUCGGUGAACUCAACGAAUACAGAGAUAAGUUGCAAAGAGUCCAUGGUAGGAUCCAAGGUCAAGCCAAAAAUUUGCACGCUUCGUCUUGUCUCUUGCUUCUCUCCAAGGACAAGACUCCUGCGAAUGAAGAUUUAGAUAACUAGAUCGACUUAUUUGUAUCACCUUAGAGAAGUUACUAAAUACAUUAAAGAUAUUGUUGGUGAAGAACUGUCUUCAUCUAUGGGGUGUGACUUUCAAUUUGAUAUCAAAAGAAUGUAACUUAGAAACCAGAAAGCACCUAGAAAUUAAAGUGACUUACUAAAACUUGAUCAUCUUUUUCGUCAGUCUGCAGUCUGGAAAUUUCUUUUCAAUUAUAACCGAGGCAGAUUAAAUGAAAUGGUAAAACCUUGGCCAACAUUCAAAAAACUGGUUAGCUUUUAUUGAUCUCCAAGUGCAGUACACAGAAGAAUGAGUAUCAGGAAAGAAUGAUCUCAAGGAAACAGAAACUUCUAAAUAUCACCGAUUUACAAACCCAUCCUAGAAGGCUUAAGAACAUUGUUUUCUAAUGUGGUAAAUAAAAAAUAGUCUAUUCAGAAAAAUUUGAGUCGGUCUCUGAUUCAUCAUAUUCACCUGAUUCCUACAAAAAUAAAUAAUAGAAUGAAAAGCUCAGACCAAUGUGUAAUGUUAAACAAAAGCAAAAGAAAAAUGAAAAGAAAAAAAAUGGGUACCAUUCUCUUGGUAUAUUCUGUCAUUGCUCGUUGAAACUCUUCCCUCUUCUCAGUGGCUAUGUCAUAGUACUUUACCUUUUCCUAUUAAACAGUAGAAGAACAAACAAACAAGGAGUAAGAGACUUCCAUCUUUCUAGAGGAUAUGAAAUACCAACCAAAAACCAUGUGAGUAGCAAAGAGAAGAAGAAUGAAAAUGUUGUUGACCGUAAAGAACUAACAAAACAACCGAGUGCAAAUCGCAAUCUGGCAAACAGCUGACCCAGAUCAUCAUGAGCAUAUCUAUCUAACCAUAUAUACGCUAACGAUGAAACCAUUGUAUUGUCCAAGUAAACAUAACCUAUCACCACAAUUUUCAGAUUCCAUGCAUUCGGGUAUGACUCAAACAACGUUAUUGAGUAAAACUCUUGGAAGACGAUAGAGAAAGCCUGUUAACAAACUCUAAGAGACAAGAAAGUAAAGAGCGUUAUCCAAAUGUUACCUCGUAUGUCAUUGUUUUCCAUUUCUCUCCGCAAGUCUUCCCAAUCUGGAGGUAUUGCAGAACAAAAACAAAUCAGCAACAGAAUCAAAGCGAAUGUAAUAGUCAACUCUGUUUUACUUUAAAAUACCACACAGUAAUUGUCUACAACCUCGCGCAUGGACUUGAUCUCUGGAUUCUGCUCUUGAUAUUGCUUCCGGAAAUCCUCCCUUUGAACCAAAAGAUAAGGCAAUAUGAGGCAAGAGGAAAAUGCAUACAACAGGUGUUUCUUUGUAUGUCUUAUAAAAUAACCAGAGCACAUAACAAUUUGGGAUUACAACAUAAAACAAAUCUCGUCCUAACGAGAAAUGGAAAACCGCAGACGAAUUUCCCCUUAAGAGAGGAGUGCAAAAAGAAGUCAGCUGAUCCAAAAUAUAUUAAAGAUAACAGUUGCACAGUCAUAUCAGAGAGGAUACCUACAAGAAAUAGAAGAAAGCAGUGGGAGGUUUCUUGGGCAUCUUCGAGUGAAGCUUAGCUGGUUUCUUCUUCUUCUUCUGGCUUGUCUUUGGCUUUCUCAAAGGCUGGAGUCUGAGUCUUGUAGACCUCCUUGCAUCUUCGCUUGACUUCACAGCCGACUCUACGUUACUGCAAAGUUUCAGAAUGCAAUUAACAAAGUAACGACAAAGUCUUAGGAACCUCUUUCUUAGUUCUUCUCAGGAUUAACAAGUAAAAGAGGAAGAAUCACUCUUCUCCAAUUUGUACAAUUUCAAAAGGGAAAAAAAGACACCCAUUUGCCUUUGAAUAGCAUAAAUUUCACACAUUUCAUUUCAGUUUGAUCCAAGUCCCUAACUUUUUCACUUAAUCAGUAAUCACUAGAGAGACACCAAGCAGAAACCUAAACAGAGAAAUCAGAGCAAAACCCAAAACUUAUAGCCAUAUAAACCCAUCUAUGCCAUACACAAAAACAUACCGACCAGAGCCUCCGCUGCACGACGGAGACGAAGGCCGCGAUAUCCCUGACUUGGGUGCUUUCUUCGUCAUUUUCUCGCUCCGUCAAAAGAUUUUCUCGCCACUUUCUCGGAAUCGGCCGCUCGGGGUUUUUCGGUAAUUACGUAUGAUGCUUGAAAUGUAAAGAAAUUGAAACAGUUUUGUAUGACAAGUUUGCCACGUGGUGUAAUAUCAUCAACAAGAAAAAAGAACGCCCAGAAAUUAAAAAUUGACAAAUUUAAUUUAGUUUUAACGUUGCGGAGAGAUUACACAUCGAUGGCAACAUCUCUGCUUCUCAGACACUCAUCAGCUGUCUUCUUCUCAAAAUCUUCCCUCUUCUUCACCAAGAACAACUCUUCUCGUUCCGUCACAUCCAUCAAGGUAAGCUUUUUCUCUUUGCAAUUUCUCUGGAAUGGAACAUCUUUAUGUGCAUUUGCAUCAUCUAUUUGCUAGAAGAAUCUUUGUAUCGGAUUGUGUUUGGUUGUUGAGGAAUUAGUAAAUUAGAUUUCCGAAAUUAUGAGACUUGCUUUUGUCUCAGAUGGAAAGAGGUGAAGCAAGUGAAGUGAUCACCGAGAAAACGGGAGAAGGAAACGCGGCUAAGAAGAUGGUGUUCGUCGCCGGAGCCACUGGAAAAACCGGGAAGAGGAUCGUGGAGCAGUUGUUGUCCCAUGGCUUCGCCGUCAAAGCCGGUGUUCGUGAUGUAGAGAAAGCAAAAACAUCUUUCAAAGACGACCCGUCUCUUCAGAUUGUAUGUUCUAUUUCCUUGUCUUAAUCUAAUGUUCUUUCGCUGUUAGUUUUGUUUUGAAAAUCCCACAACUACCUCUGUGAUUAGGUUAGAGCAGACGUGACAGAAGGUCCUGAGAAGCUAGCUGAAGCUAUAGGUGAUGAUUCUAAAGCUGUGAUUUGUGCUUCUGGGUUUCGUCCCGGGUUUGAUCUUUUCGCUCCUUGGAAAGUCGAUAAUUUCGGGACAGUGAAUCUGGUGGAUGCGUGCCGGAAACAAGGAGUGGAUAGGUUUGUUCUCAUAAGCUCAAUCUUGGUGAACGGAGCUGCAAUGGGGCAGAUACUGAACCCAGCUUACAUCUUCCUCAACGUCUUUGGACUAACUCUGGUCGCAAAGCUUCAAGCCGAGAAGUAUAUCAAAAGAUCCGGCAUCAACUAUACCAUAGUAAGGCCCGGUGGUCUUAAAAACGAUCCUCCAACAGGAAACGUAGUCAUGGAGCCAGAGGUAAAACCUUCUUUGAUCUUUGUUUCUGUCUGCUUUUGUGCUGGAACAACUGAUAAAGAUCUAACCUUUGAUCUUUUGUAGGAUACUUUGUCUACAGGGAGCAUAUCAAGAGACCAGGUCGCAGAAGUUGCAGUGGAAGCUCUACUUAAUGAGGAAUCGUCUUUCAAGGUUGUGGAGAUCGUUGCUCGUCCCGAUGCUCCAAAACUUUCCUACAAAGAUCUCUUUGCUUCUGUUAAGGGAGGAAAUUAACUAGGAUACAAAUCAAUCACAAUGUAACGAGUCUCAUGCUCUAUUUGAAAACUUAUUUCUCUUAUGUCUUGAGUACAACAAACAAACAGAUGUGCAUAAGCUUUUGUUCAUAAACUGAGUUCAAGGUAAGCAUUGAGAGAGUUUCAUUCAUUUUUAUCUCUUCUCCAUUUUUGGGUCUUAAGAACCCAUUAAUGGCGCUUGUUCCCGGUCGCUUGUUCCCAUGAGUGCAAGACAUGGUUCACGAUUUCCUCGACCCCAAGUCCAUGCUUCACCUGGAAGUGUUAAAGUAAUCAAAGAAGACACCUUUGUGAGAACUAAGCUCAUUUGGUUAUAUAUUAAGUGAUGAAUCAUAUUCCGAAGAUGGUGAACCUGAGCAAAGACGAAUGGCCCUCCAUCACGCAUGCGUAGUGCAUCCCGUUCCAUGACAGAUAAGUCGGCCCCAACAGCUGCUGCGAGGUCUGUUUUGUUUAUCACCUACCCCAAGAGAUUCUUUCACAUUAGUUACUAUAGACUUGAGAUCAAAAGAGCUUUUAAGUUAAGAGUUUAAGCAACAUAAGGGCACCAGAAGAUCAGCUUGAGUGAUUCCAGGGCCGCCUUUCCGGGGUAUUUUAUCACCAGCCGAUACAUCGAUGAUGUAGAUGAUGUAGUCAGCUAGUUCUCUGCUGAAAUUAGCAGCUAAAUUAUCUGCAAACCCAACACUAAUCCUAUUCAACCUCACUGGAUCCUUCAGAAACAGUAAUCAAAAACUAGGGAGGGGAAUAGAAAUGAAACCUCCACCGGAUUCACAAAGAAGCAAAUCAGCCUUGAAUAAGUUAUGUAACUCCUCAAGAGGACCCAAAUUGAUACUGAUAUCUUCACGGAUCGCAGCGUGUGGACAUCCACCGGUUUCAACAGCCCUAAUCCUUUCCUCAGGAAGAGCACCAUUCUUCACCAGAAACUCGCCGUCUUCUUUGGUGAAUAUAUCAUUUGUCACCUACAAGAUCAAAAUCUUCUUUAUUGACAUGUGUAGUGCACAAAAAACAAGGAAACAAUCUUGUGUGGGAGCUCAGAAUUAACUCAUAAUCGGAAAGAUUUGCCGGUGAUAAUAAUAAUACUCACAGCAGCAAGACUAUAUUUGUCCCUCAAGAAUCUACAGAGAGCAAGCAUCAAUGCUGUUUUCCUGAUUGAACAGAAACAAAAUCAAUUCAGAACACAAAGUUGACACAUUUGAGCAAAAGAGAUGAAACCCAAUUAACAUUUCCAAAGAAGCCAUCACAGAUUCGAGGUUUGAAUAUGUUACCAAAUAAAUAAAAAAAUCAAGCAGCCAAUUUGAUUUUUUUCAACUACCCUGUGCCAACGGGACCGCCAAUACCGACGGUAAAAGCUCUCUCGGAGAAGUUACGGUCGUGAAGCGGUGGAGCUCGGCGGCUGAAGUAGCCAGGGGAGUAGAUGGGUUCGUGUGAGUGCGGUGCGAGUCCAUCGUGGCUAUGGUACACCUUCCCGUCCGGUCCCACCCACGACAUCUCCCCAUCGCCGCCGUCCGAUUUCCUACUUUGCAGAAUUAGAUAAGAUAGAUUAGUGAUGGUGAGAGAAUAAAUCGCAGAAAGACUAAAACUUUACGGAGGAAGGGAAAAUCAAUGAAACACGAACUAACUUGUGGCCAUGCUCGUGAUCGUGAUGAUGAUGAUGACCGUGGUCGUGUGACUCCAUUGCAAGGAGAUUUGAAGCUUGUUGUUGUGGUUGUAUUGACUUUGACUUGUGCUACUAGAGAGUGAUAUUGAUUUGAGCACACAAGAAGUAAGAACCUUUUUUAUCUCCAAAGUGAUUGGAGAUUCUACUAUUUUUCGCUCUAGGGUGCUUAAAAUGACUGAAAUGGCCCUGUUCUAUGUCGAUAAGAUUCCAUCGUUGAUCUGUGGUGAGAAAAUGGAUUUUAGUUACAAAAAUAGCACUUCUCGCUUUUUCAAAUGUACAGUAGAAGCCUUGAGUUGAUAAUUUGCUUUUUAGUGGUUUACAGCGUAUGGAAUCGUAUAUAUACGUAUUCUAUUACUGAUUUUGUCUACAACAAAGAACCCAACAUAGGAGGAAUUAAGAAAGAAGGAAAAGGGUUUUCUUUCAUAAGCAAAAAACAUGAACCACAAAAUCCAGAAAAGGUCUAGUAUAGUUUCAUGAAUACGCCUAGAAUGUUGAUAAACAAAAAUUUCAGGGAAAAUCCAAAACAGCAGAGAACAUAACUUCAUCACGAUUCUACGCCACAAAAAAAAAAAGAGUCAAUCAGAGACCUUUUACAUGAACAAGUUGGGUUUGGAGGCCUUGUAAGUCGUCUUCAGCUUCCUGCUUGGUGGUCUCACCUUGCGGAACACCAAUGGGAACUUGAUCUUACUGUUAUGGAACUGCUUGGUGCUCUCUCUCUUGCACAAAGCUGCCGGGACAGUGGCUGUCUUAAUAAUCUGGAUGCAAGGGAACCUGACACGGUGUCUGGAAGCCAUCUCUGUGUACAUCUGUUCCACAGCUCCGUUCAAGGUAGUGUCACGAUACUCCUUGUACAUAUUGUGGUAUCCAGUUCUGCUCUGAUACCUCAACCAGAUUCCAAAAUUCUUGAUGGUUGUCGGGUUUUUCUCAAAAAUCUGUAAACAAAUUUUGUAAUCGAUUACGUAAAGUAAGGAGGAGGCAUAGAACAAUAAAACUACACAAGCUCAUGCGAACAACAUAACAUCUGUUUCAAAAUUGAUCUAAGUCGUAACGAAAAAGAUAUCACAUUGAGAACGACCUAGUUGCUGAAUACUAAGAAAUUUGCAUUGUCAAUCGUUAUAAAGAUAGUUCAUUUACAGAAGAUUUUCACAAAUUCUAAACAACUAAAGAUCAAAACUUUACUGUUCUUGUUCGGCAAAUUCAGUUACUUUCCUGAUAUAUUAAUCGACUAACAACUUCGCUAACACAGUGAUGUAUCAUAACUUCAGAUCCGGUAGCGAAAUUUUCGUUUUAUCGAUGAGAAAGUAGAAACUUAAGUACCUCAUUAAUGGCCAGCAUCUGUCCAUUACUCUUCUUAACUUUCUUUAGCUUCCUCAAAAAAUACCUACUCCAAAUAACAACACCAGUCAAAACGGAUCAAUUCUAUAAUGCAGCAAUUAAAAGAAAACAUCCCGAGAAAAAAAACACAAUUUUACUAACCAGAACUUGGACUUGGCACGAACCUCGUUCGUAGCCCAGAGCUUCAUACGGUAAAUCUUAGGGUGCUCAUCUUUCUCUGUCGGGAGAGCUCUUCCCACAACCUGGUACUGGUGAAACUGACAAAACGAAACAAAAAAAAAAUAUGCCGAGAUCAUCAGAUUCGCCGAGGUUCAAACUUAAUACAGCAACAAUGGAGACAUUUAGAUAGAGAAUGGAUCAAGAGCUUACCUUGAAAGUGACCAUUUUCGUCUCGAGGGAGCAGUUCGGUAGAAACCUCAACCACAAUUAGCGGCUAGGGUUUUUUUU